UAUUGGACAAUGGGGGGAACCCUGAUCCAGCGACGCCGCGUGAGUGAAGAAGUAUCUCGGUANGCAAAGCUCUAUCAGCAGGGAANNCCNNNANGACGGUACAUGAGUAAGAAGCCACGGCUAACUACGUNNNANANGCCGCGGUAAUACGUAGGGGGCAAGCGUUAUCCGGAAUUACUGGGUGUAAAGGGAGCGUAGACGGUGAUGUAAGUCUGGAGUGAAAGGCGGGGGCCCAACCCCCGGACUGCUCUGGAAACUAUGUGACUGGAGUGCAGGAGAGGUGAGCGGAAUUCCUAGUGUAGCGGUAAAAUGCGUAGAUAUUAAGAGGAACACCAGUGGCGAAGGCGGCUCACUGGACUGUAACUGACGUUGAGGCUCGAAAGCGUGGGGAGCAAACAGG
RNAcentral lists this ribosomal RNA (400 nucleotides) under uncultured bacterium. Its description in RNAcentral is "partial 16S ribosomal RNA". It matches the Rfam family "Bacterial small subunit ribosomal RNA", at positions 362 to 776 of the family's 1533-position model. The record is from RNAcentral.